CCUUUGACGUUAGCGGCGGACGGGUGAGUAACACGUGGGUAACCUACCUAUAAGACUGGGAUAACUUCGGGAAACCGGAGCUAAUACCGGAUAAUAUUUCGAACCGCAUGGUUCGAUAGUGAAAGGUGGUUUUGCUAUCACUUAUAGAUGGACCCGCGCCGUAUUAGCUAGUUGGUAAGGUAACGGCUUACCAAGGCGACGAUACGUAGCCGACCUGAGAGGGUGAUCGGCCACACUGGAACUGAGACACGGUCCAGACUCCUACGGAGGCAGCAGCU
This 278-nucleotide ribosomal RNA is filed under the name uncultured Staphylococcus sp. Its description in RNAcentral is "partial 16S ribosomal RNA". It matches the Rfam family "Bacterial small subunit ribosomal RNA", at positions 83 to 355 of the family's 1533-position model. Lineage: Bacteria; Bacillati; Bacillota; Bacilli; Caryophanales; Staphylococcaceae. The record is from RNAcentral.